AAUAAAUGCAGCCAUGAGUUUCCGUGUCCAACUUUAAUCAUCCGUCUUAUUUGAUUUUUUUAUGAUUAGUAUUUUUAUCGUUACUGAAAUAUAAAACAUGAGUAGUAUUUUAUGUGUGACUUGUAUUUUUUUAGUUUUCCAAAAAAAAAAUUAAAUAAGACGGACGAUUAAAGUUGGACGCGGAAACUCGUGGCUACGCUUAUU
This is a non-coding RNA of Oryza glumipatula, 204 nucleotides long. The record is from Rfam. NCBI's taxonomy places the organism in Eukaryota, Viridiplantae, Streptophyta, Magnoliopsida, Poales, Poaceae.